This 557-nucleotide ribosomal RNA is filed under the name Blommersia domerguei. RNAcentral's name for it is "partial 16S ribosomal RNA". It matches the Rfam family "Bacterial large subunit ribosomal RNA", at positions 1837 to 2609 of the family's 2925-position model. Lineage: Eukaryota; Metazoa; Chordata; Amphibia; Anura; Mantellidae. The record is from RNAcentral.
GCCAAAAUAUAAGAGGUCCAGCCUGCCCAGUGACAAAGUUUAACGGCCGCGGUACCCUAACCGUGCGAAGGUAGCAUAAUCAUUUGUUCUUUAAAUGAGGACUAGUAUCAACGGCAUCACGAGGGUUAAACUGUCUCCUUUCUCCAAUCAGUGAAACUGAUCUUCCCGUGAAGAAGCGGGAAUUAAAUUAUAAGACGAGAAGACCCCAUGGAGCUUUAAACCCAAUUACACCCUUAUUUUCUAAUUCUUCAUAAUCUGUAAGGUGUUGUAUAUUCGGUUUUAGGUUGGGGUGACCGCGGAGCACAAAUAAGCCUCCACGAUGAAUGGAAUUUUUCCCUUAUCUAAGAAUUACAUUUCUAAGAAUUAGCAUUCUAACAUUUAAUGAUCCAAUAUUUGAUCAACGAACCAAGUUACCCUGGGGAUAACAGCGCAAUCCACUUCAAGAGCCCCUAUCGACAAGUGGGUUUACGACCUCGAUGUUGGAUCAGGGUAUCCUAGUGGUGCAGCAGUUACUAAAGGUUCGUUUGUUCAACGAUUAAAACCCUACGUGAUCUGAG